Molecule: long non-coding RNA, 845 nt
Organism: Leucoraja erinaceus (little skate)
Lineage: Eukaryota; Metazoa; Chordata; Chondrichthyes; Rajiformes; Rajidae
Exons: 4
Source: RefSeq, a predicted model, not a curated record
GGUGGGCAGGCACGAUAGCUCGGGUCGUCGCCCGUUUCACACACAGAAUAUUCCACGAGCUCUCAGUGACGUCAGGGGGAGGGACGCAUUUAAAUGAACUGACGCCCUGGCUGGGGUUUUACAUGGCCACCAAGGAGGCAUCGAGACCCUGGCGGUGGAGGAGACGAUGGGGCCGCCACGGCAGUGAGGCAUCGCGACGCCUAUAGUGAUUUCUUGAAGUAUUUUGUUCCUGAGAAAUCAUUGACAGAAAUUCUUGGUGUUGAGACCAGGCAAUCAAGCACUAUUUUAACAAUGAAAAUUCUCUGAGGAGCAUGAAUCUGAGACCAGGUCAAUACCAGUGGCUCUGUCUCACGGAGAGACAGCAGAGUGAAGGCCUCUCAUGGUACAGGCCUCGUGGCUGUGAGUCUGGAAUCAAGGGGUUAAAGGCUCCUGUAUCCGAUUGGCCAAGCUGCGUCAGGUGACGGGUGACUCAUCUGAAGCUUAAAUACCAGAGCUUCCCAGGAUUCUCUCUCUUCUUCAUCGACCCUGACUGAUGAGCAGACUGCUGGUGUGAGCCGAGGGAGGCCUGGCCACAUGGCAUAGAACUUUGUGUACUUUCACCAUUCCUUGGUAACAAAUAUUGAAUUGGGACGGAUAAGGGCUGACCUUAGUGUUUUUGUGUAUUUUGUUUCAGGGUUAUAUCUCUUUAGGCAGGUUUUAGAGUCUCCGGUUCGACGGUCCAUCACGUGGCUGGCUGGAGCAUUGUUAAAUUGUUUGUCAGUUCAUCCAUAUCCCUGACUGGGUUGUUUAAAUCAGGUUUGGGUUUUGUGUUCCAUUGAAUAAUUAAAACUAUUUUUGAACUUGAA